UGGGGAAUAUUGGACAAUGGGGGAAACCCUGAUCCAGCGACGCCGCGUGGGUGAUGAAGGCUUUCGGGUCGUAAAGCCCUGUCAGGAGGAAAGAAUGCUUCUAUGACAAAUACUCAUAGAAAGUGACGGUACCUCCAAAGGAAGCACCGGCCAACUCCGUGCCAGCAGCCGCGGUAAGACGGAGGGUGCAAGCGUUGCUCGGAAUUACUGGGCGUAAAGGGUGCGUAGGCGGCCUUUCAAGUCCGGCGUGAAAGCCCAGGGCUCAGCCCUGGAAGUGCGCUAGAAACUGGAUGGCUAGAGUAUCGGAUGGGAGAGUGGAAUUCCUGGUGUAGCGGUGAAAUGCGUAGAUAUCAGGAGGAAUACCGGUGGCGAAGGCGACUCUCUGGACGAUAACUGACGCUGAGGCACGAAAGCGUGGGGAGCAAACAGGAUUAGAUACCCUGGUAGUCCACGCCGUAAACGAUGGGCACUAGGUGUCGGGGGUAUCCACUCCUCCGGUGCCGCCGCUAACGCAUUAAGUGUCCCGCCUGGGAAGUACGGUCGCAAGAUUA
Molecule: ribosomal RNA, 551 nt
Filed under: uncultured bacterium
Lineage: Bacteria
Description: bacterial SSU rRNA
Rfam family: Bacterial small subunit ribosomal RNA
Source: RNAcentral